UACAGAGGGUGCGAGCGUUAAUCGGAAUUACUGGGCGUAAAGGGCGCGUAGGCGGUUGAUUAAGUUGGAUGUGAAAUCCCUGGGCUUAACCUAGGAACUGCAUUCAAUACUGAAUGACUAGAGUGCUGUAGAGGAUAGUGGAAUUUCCGGUGUAGCGGUGAAAUGCGUAGAUAUCGGAAGGAACACCAGUGGCGAAGGCGGCUAUCUGGACAGACACUGACGCUGAGGCGCGAAAGCGUGGGGAGCAAACAGG
This 253-nucleotide ribosomal RNA is filed under the name uncultured bacterium. Its description in RNAcentral is "partial 16S ribosomal RNA". It matches the Rfam family "Bacterial small subunit ribosomal RNA", at positions 524 to 776 of the family's 1533-position model. The record is from RNAcentral.